This is a long non-coding RNA of Mus musculus (house mouse), 780 nucleotides long. RefSeq annotates it as predicted gene, 29677. The record is from RefSeq and is a predicted model, not a curated record. Lineage: Eukaryota; Metazoa; Chordata; Mammalia; Rodentia; Muridae. The transcript is spliced from 4 exons.
ACUGUGGGGGUGGGUUUUGAGACUUUCCUCCUAGCCACGUGGAAGUCAGUCUGCUCCUGGCUUUCUCUGGAUGAAGAUGUAGAACUCUCAGCUCCUCCUGGGAGCUACCAUGCUCUCUCCUUGAUGAGAUAAUGGACUGACCCUCUGAAACGAUUUCGUGUCAUGUUGUGAGUGCAACAUGUUCGACAGCUUUCCUGUGGAGGGAAUAUCUUCUACGAUGGGAUCUGCAGUCUAUUGGACAGUGCGGCUCACAACCGGAGCAGCUCUCCGGGUUUCAUUGGUUGUCUCAUAUGCCAAUCAUCUCUGGAUAUACCCCCAAAGACACACUCAGAACUGUGCUGUAUUCACUUGCUAGACAUCUCUCCAUCCAAUCAGGUUGACAGUUAGGACUAAUCGUUCCAGAUAAGUAAUUAAGGACAGUUGUCCUCUUUAGAGGACAUAUAUUCAUUUUCAAGUCUCAUGGCUUUACAAGCCAACAUUGUCUUAGCAUCUCCUUUUCAGAUACAUCUUUCACAGCACCCCAAAAGGAAGGAGCAGAUGCUGUGUGAAGAUCACGCUGUCAUGGAUGUUGUGGAACAAUUUGGCUUUGAUGGAUGUCACUCCCUCACCGCUUCUCCGGGGAGACAACCUGAGACACUGCAGGGACCAAGGGAUCUCUUCUCAGUUGCAUCUUCAAUAUGGAUGUCCUGGCCCAAAGCAGAAACCCUCCCACUGGAUGCUCUGUUUGGGAUGAUUUUUGGAGUAGAUUUUUUUCUCUCUCUCAAAAUUAACUCCACAAUU